This 372-nucleotide ribosomal RNA is filed under the name uncultured organism. Its description in RNAcentral is "bacterial SSU rRNA". It matches the Rfam family "Bacterial small subunit ribosomal RNA", at positions 526 to 896 of the family's 1533-position model. The record is from RNAcentral.
CGUAGGUGGCAAGCGUUGUCCGGAAUUAUUGGGCGUAAAGCGCGCGCAGGUGGGAUAAUAAGUCUGAUGUUAAAGUUCGGGGCUCAACCCCGUGAAGCAUUUGGAUACUGUUAUUCUUGAGUGCAGGAGAGGAAAGUGGAAUUCCUAGUGUAGCGGUGAAAUGCGUAGAUAUUAGGAGGAACACCAGUGGCGAAGGCGACUUUCUGGACUGUGUCUGACACUGAGGCGCGAAAGCCAGGGUAGUGAACGGGAUUAGAUACCCCGGUAAUCCUGGCCGUAAACGAUGGGUACUAGGUGUUGGGGGUAUCGACCCCUCCAGUGCCGGAGUUAACGCAAUAAGUACCACGCCUGGGGAGUACGGCCGCAAGGUUG